GUGCUCACUUUGGCAGCACACAUACUAAAAUUGGAACGAUGCAGAGAUUAGCAUGGCCCCUGUGCAAGGAUGGCACGCAAGUUCAUGAAGCAUUCCAUAUUUGG
Otolemur garnettii (small-eared galago) is the source of this 104-nucleotide small nuclear RNA. Lineage: Eukaryota; Metazoa; Chordata; Mammalia; Primates; Galagidae. The record is from Ensembl.